GGCUUAGAAAUAGCAAAUCCCAAACUUCUUUUUCGAAAAAAAGCUAACUGAAAACUUAGCUUUUCUUUUGAGAAACAUCUGGCUUUAUUGAUUCAAUAAACAAAGUACAAGUGAUCGAAAUUGUAAUGAAAACCAACAAAAAAAAAUAAUGAAGCUAAAAGUUACAUGAAGAUGCUUUGAAGUAAAUAACUCUGGAUCAGUCAUCCGUAUCUUGAAAACUCUCCAGGUGAUGAAAUUGCAGAAGACCAAAUCUGCACAAGCUGGACUAACCUUAUAGGUUUUGAAUAGCCGCAUGAGUCGCUCACCGCAACCGAUGAGAACCUAAUAUUGUUGAACGCACUCUGACCGGGGACACAUCCCUUGCAAGUUAGGUUGUCGAUGUGCUGAUUAGUCGCCGAACCGACUAGAAAGAAGAUCAAAAUAACGAAAAAAACAAACCGUGAGAUCCACUAGCUCCAUGGAGUAGAUCAUGUUGACUACGCCAGGAAGAGGAUGGAGCUGGGAGACUAUUAUUUCAUAUGUCGUCGCCUCCUCCACCAAGAUGCCGUCGCGAGGACACAUAACCUCACAAAGAAGAAAAAAGCC
This 585-nucleotide long non-coding RNA is filed under the name Brachypodium distachyon (stiff brome). RNAcentral's name for it is "long non-coding RNA (BDIS_LNC001381)". The record is from RNAcentral. Lineage: Eukaryota; Viridiplantae; Streptophyta; Magnoliopsida; Poales; Poaceae.